UGGCUUAUGUCUAUCAAGGAACAUAGUUGC
RNAcentral lists this non-coding RNA (30 nucleotides) under Homo sapiens (human). Lineage: Eukaryota; Metazoa; Chordata; Mammalia; Primates; Hominidae. The record is from RNAcentral.